GCCAGGCACAGUGGUGUAUGCCUGUAAUUCCAGUGACUAGGGAGGUUGAGGCAGGAGGAUGGCAAGUUUAAGGCCAGCCUCAGCAACUUAGUGACACCCUGCCUCAA
RNAcentral lists this small RNA (107 nucleotides) under Marmota monax (woodchuck). The record is from RNAcentral. Lineage: Eukaryota; Metazoa; Chordata; Mammalia; Rodentia; Sciuridae.